RNAcentral lists this unclassified non-coding RNA (168 nucleotides) under uncultured fungus. RNAcentral's name for it is "sequence contains ITS1, 5.8S rRNA gene". Lineage: Eukaryota; Fungi. The record is from RNAcentral.
GUGAAUACAAACGCUUGGGUGUCUCUGCUUCGGCAAGCCCCUCGCACCCUUCACAUCCAUAACACCUGUGCACUGUAAGAUGACUCUCGGACUUUCGGGUCCUUGGGUUAUCUGACCUUUUUCACAAACAAAUUUAUGUAACAAAUGUAGUCUUAUUAUAACAAAAUA